AACAUCGCGCACCUGCGGGAACCUGCGGAAGGAUCAUUAAUGAAUAAACCUGGCAUGGUUGUUGCUGGCUCUUAGGAGCAUGUGCACACCUGUCAUCUUUAUCUUUCCACCUGUGCACACAAUGUAGAUCUGGAUAACUCUCGCUCUUCGGAGCGGAAACAUAGAUUGCUGUGUCGAAAGGCCGGCUUUCUGUGAAUUUCCAGAUCUAUGUCUUUACAAACCCCAAUUGAAUGUUGAAGA
Molecule: unclassified non-coding RNA, 240 nt
Filed under: soil metagenome
Description: partial contains 5.8S ribosomal RNA, internal transcribed spacer 2, and large subunit ribosomal RNA
Source: RNAcentral